UUAGAGUCCAUUGUGAGUUUUAUCGGCAGACCGAUAAAACUUUCCAAGUGGCCAAGAUUGCCAAACUACUGUUUGCGAUGGAACGUGGGACAGAGUCGCUGAAGGGAAAGAGUCUGCAAACCCUGGACUCUGUUAUCACUGGAAGAGCACAUGCAGCCACCUCAACCAAAGGUCUGAAAAGUGGCAAAAAGAGAAGACCAGAUCCAGGGAGACGACAGGAAGCUCAAGAUGAAUGAGAAGUGCCACAUUCAGCUGUAGCAACGAGAUCUGAUGAUGAAGAUGAUGGAGGCGGUAACAGUACCAACUUGGACACUGAAAAC
Molecule: long non-coding RNA, 320 nt
Organism: Hippocampus zosterae (dwarf seahorse)
Lineage: Eukaryota; Metazoa; Chordata; Actinopteri; Syngnathiformes; Syngnathidae
Exons: 3
Source: RefSeq, a predicted model, not a curated record